Long non-coding RNA from Mandrillus leucophaeus (drill), 588 nucleotides. RefSeq lists it as uncharacterized. NCBI's taxonomy places the organism in Eukaryota, Metazoa, Chordata, Mammalia, Primates, Cercopithecidae. The record is from RefSeq and is a predicted model, not a curated record. The transcript is spliced from 3 exons.
AGCACAAAGAACAACACUAUUUAAAGAUCACACACAUACCCUCUCAAACACAUCAUCUGCCUUUGGGAAAGCAACGUGUUCACUGUGAUAAUUCAGCACCAGGACCUGAGGUGGUGGGAACAGCUUUGGCUGGUUUGCUGCUCUCCAAGGAGCUCCUGUGCCGGCCUCAUUGGACAAGCAUCCCUGCCUGCCCUGCGGCGCAGAGUCUCCAGGACCAGCAGAUGGCGCACUUGCACAGUCCACACAUUUUCCAGGUUCUCAAGUGUUCAUUUCCUGGAUGUUCUGACUAAUUUAAACUAUGGUUAAUUGAAUACUGAAAUAUUCAGGAAACAAUGACAAGAACAAUUUGCUAUGGACAAUUUCCACCUGUACUCUCAAGACUUAGAAGCCAUAUGGAUAGAAUGAAAUAGGAUUCCAUCAUUCUCGGCCCAUCUCUCCCAUCCCAAGUCAUUUUUGUUCUCUCCCCGCAGGCAGUCAGAAGACUAGAAGUGAAGGGGUGAGCAGUAGAUAGAGCAGUUUAUAAGACUAUGUUAAGACCAUGAUGAAAAGACAUUAGAGGAAGCAGUAAAAAAGCAAUAUGUGACUCUU